This is a long non-coding RNA of Dunckerocampus dactyliophorus (ringed pipefish), 1357 nucleotides long. RefSeq lists it as uncharacterized. Lineage: Eukaryota; Metazoa; Chordata; Actinopteri; Syngnathiformes; Syngnathidae. The record is from RefSeq and is a predicted model, not a curated record. The transcript is spliced from 3 exons.
UAUGGUGAAUCUUUCUGAAAGGUGUUUCCUGGGACUCUGAUGAGGAACUACAAGAAUCCAGCAGUAACUUUUCCCAGUUUGUGAACAGAUAAAGAAUAGAAUGCACAUAUUCUCUUACAUACAGUAUAAAACAUCAAUCAGUGUGACGCAUCCACUGAACCUGCUGUUUAUCACUCUCAAAUGCCCUACAUGUCCCAAAGGGAUUAGUGUGUGUGUGUCCCAUCUGGCUUCAUGUAAGGCUUUCAUUGUGUCAUCAUCAACUGUGUCUUUGCGUGUGUGUGUGUGUGUGUGUGUGUGUGUGUGUGUGAGGUACAGAAAGGGUGACGGAUCACCAUUACCACCCGGCAUGGGCGGGAUGAAUCCUUUUUGUUCAACCACUCAGACUUUGUUCAGAUUAACCCUGCCUCUUGCUCUAAUCCAGGAUCCAAUAUGAGAUUAGACGUCCAACUUGCAUUGUCAGGAGCUACACCAGCAGCAUACAAAUGAGGGGGAGCGGAGGGGGAAUGGAUAGAAAAAGAGGAAGAUAAAAGGCGGAGACAAAAACUCCCAAGAGGACAGUUGAUGGGACGAAGGCAAAAUAUAAAGAAGAUGAGGAGUCAUAAAGCGUGAAGUGAGACACAUUUUGCACCAAGUGUCACAAAAUAGAAGAUGGCUGCAAGGUGAGCUUGAGCGAUGCUGCCUACCUCUGGAGUGCUCGAUUUUCACGGGCACGCAGGCGUCUUCGUCAGCACGCUUGGACUGGAAACACACGGCGUUGUCUUUCCCCUCUGCAACCACACAAGAUAAAACGGAACUAUUACAAGAUGCAAGAUAGAUUUGUGUACAGCUCAUGGCAACGUAUCAGGGUGAAACGUCUUACAAGAAGAGUCCCGUUGCCUCCAAGCUUUGUGGAUUACCAUGACCUGGAUGACUGAGACAGGCAUAUUGUACGUCUCAUGAAGUGUAUGCAGCAUGGCGAGGCGCAGCCCACCUCAUCCCGAGAUCUCAGCAUGCACUCUGCACAGCCCCUCUAGGUUCUGUUCCCUGACUUGCAUUCACCCUCCUCUUGCUCCAUCCCCCUGUGACCUAACUGCCCACCACGGAAAACGGAUCACAGCCGCCGGGCAGCAGCUACUAAAUGUGUCAAUCAAUAGGCCGUCCCUCCCAAUCAGCACUCACUGGGCCCCAGCAGACUUCUCAUAAAUGAACAACAGGGCUUUAUCAUAGUGAGCUCUUUCAUGGCCAGCCUAGGCCAAAUGUAUGUCUAUGUUUAUAUGUUGAGGUGAAACUGACCCCUUUUCAGUAAAAUAGUGACUUUCUGUUCUGGUCUGCUAAUAAAAAGCAAAAAUAACAACCAAUAAAACUUUGAAUUCCAUGC